This is a long non-coding RNA of Meriones unguiculatus (Mongolian gerbil), 1418 nucleotides long. RefSeq lists it as uncharacterized. Lineage: Eukaryota; Metazoa; Chordata; Mammalia; Rodentia; Muridae. The record is from RefSeq and is a predicted model, not a curated record. The transcript is spliced from 4 exons.
GCCUCCGGUGCUGUCGGUGGGGCAGGCGAGGAGAGAGGGACUUAGCUUCAGACGUUCAAGCGCCCGCUGACAUAAAUUUAACAGAGCCAGAAUUCCUCCUCCGACUGCGCCAAUUUGACUGAGCAAGAGAACCCUGGAAGAUGCCGUUUCAUCAAAGCAGCCGAAGUAGACGGGUCCUUUUCAUCAAACCCAGAAGGGGGAGGGGGCAAGAAGAAUAGCCAGAGGGUAUUUUUGGAAAGCCGAGAGGAGAUUAAAUGACGACUCUACGUCUUCCCCCGUUUAAGUGUUGCAACUAAUUCGAAUUCCCAUUUUCUCCUUCGCGUUAAUUAUCUGGACUCCGUGAGUCAUACGGAGCUCAGCUCCAGGUGUCCCAGGGAUUAGAAGCUCGAAAAGAUGGAGGUUUUUAGUGAGGGUGGUUUGCUGCAAGGGCUGGGAUAGGUGGCCGCGCUUGGUACCUCGCUGCAACCCUCUUUGGGAACAUGGGUUCCAACGAAAUCACCUAACGGCCACGCUCGGCGGCCCCUUUGUGUGACUAAAUUUGGCAAGAAUAUGGAUCCCAGCCAGUCUUUCCACGUGUGCUCCCAGCUCCCAGCUGAGAAGGCCAAGGGUUCUCUUCCGGGAGAGAUUGGUUCUGGAGCCCCAGAAGACCUGAAAAUCCAAGGAUGCUCAUGAGGUAUAAGUUCUGUGAAAUAAGAAGGUGAAGGUAAGCAAAAGAGAUCAAAGUCAUUUCUGGAAGAAAUAGACCAAGAAGUUGGUAUGCCUGGUGAGGUGGUAACCUCACUUGGAGACUGAGGAAGGAGGAUAAUGAGUUGGAGGACAACACAAGCUACAUUUUGAGAUCAUGUCUGGCAAAAACAGAAGGAGAAAGGGGGAUGAGGGGAGGAAGAGGAGGAGGAGGCAGCUCCUAAAACCUUGCUGUGCCUUUACAGUAGAGAACUCUAUGUGUUUUGUCCCCUACUAUGACAUUGAAAGUGACUUAAAAGGGGCCACGGAGAUGUCUCACUGAGUGAAAGGUUUGCUGUAAAGACAAGUCUGAUGACCUGAGUUUGAUGAACCCACAUAAAGACGAGAGACACACACAUAGUGUUGGUUACGUUUCCGUUGCUACAGUAAGACACAAAGGCAGCUAUGGAAGAAAGUGUGUUUUUGGCUUAUGGUUGCAGAUAGCAGGAACAGCAUGGCAGCGGGCAGCAAGCUUGGCUGCUAGAACAAAAAGCUGAAGGCUCACAUCUUGAACUGCAAGAACAAAACAGAGAGAGCAAACUGGGAGUAGGGAGAGGACUUAAGAGCUCAAAGCCUACCCUAAAUGGUGCACCUCCCUCAGCAAGGCCAUACCUCUGAAGCAUCAGCAAACAGCGCUACCAGCUGGGGCCCAAGUGUUCACAUACAUGAACCUAUAUGGGGAAAUUCUCAUUCAA